Long non-coding RNA from Heterocephalus glaber (naked mole-rat), 9775 nucleotides. NCBI's taxonomy places the organism in Eukaryota, Metazoa, Chordata, Mammalia, Rodentia, Bathyergidae. The record is from Ensembl.
UCUCAGGGACAGUGGGCCAGGAGGCCUCGAACCUUUGCAGAAAACAGACUCCAUUCCCUCAGCAAUGAAAUUGAAUAAAUAGCAAUAAGAUCUCCAAUCCCUUAUGUUAUCACACUUGGCCAUAUCAUGUGCCUGUCCAUCCAUUUCUGCAUUCACUCCUCAUAACUCCCUGGCUAUCAUUCACACAAGAUGCUGAAGCAGAGGUCCAAAGAUGGGAAGGGGCCUUCCCAAGGCCGUACAGAGAAAAGCCAGUGGCAGGACUAGAUUAUUGGGACGUCUCUUUCCCAGCUAUGUGCUCCCUAGGAAAAUGGGUCAUGCUGGAUGACUCUACUAUAUUCUGCUGAACAUUCCUACCCCAGGUGCCUGAUUAGAACUGAGAAAAGCCCAUUGUGAGCAGCCCCGAUUCCCUCCAGUCUGACUCCAAUAUAGCUACAUGGUUACUGGUGGGGGGAUUAGUGGAGGACAUAGCUACCCCACUCUUAGAUCGUAGGAGCUGAAGCCAGCAAAAAAGAGCUAGAGAGCAGUGUGUGAACUCUGUGUACCAUAUUUGGCUGUCACUGCUGCAUACAUAUCUACUCACCCUUGCCCACCUUUGUGUGUUUGAGUGAAUUUCUUCUGGACUAUUGACAUAUAGAUCCCAAAUUUGCUCAUAUCGACAGACUCUAAGGUAGGAAAUCUCCAGUUUCAUAUGAGUUUAGUCAAAUCUAUUUUCCUUUAUGACCUCAGUUUCUCUUGUGAAAUGAACAUUUUGAAUUAGAUGGCCUGUGAGUUUCUGGCAUCCUACAAUUCUACAUGUGUAAACAUGUACGAUUGGUUGGGGACCCAAAGUAAGCCCUACUGUGAGGUGCUGUAUCAUACCUGGCUGGAGACUUCUGAGUCAUUGUCUCAACAAAGAUGUUUUUCCCAAAACAGAGCUUCCCGUGGUACAGAGUCCACUUGUUUCUUCAAAAUCCGCAGCAGUUGCUCAUUGCAAAACCAAGGCAGGGCAAAGCCUUCAGGAUGCGAAUGGGAACAAAAAGGAUGCAGGAAGGAACAAGAAAGCAAGAGGAGGAGAAAGAGAAAGGCAAAGUGAAGAAAAAAGUGGUGGGUGGAAGGGAUGCAGUGACAGGCUCAGGGACAGGAAAUGUCUUAGUAAAAGAUUUCCAGAGUUUUGUAAUCUGUUUCUUGUAUAAGGCAUACGGGCUUCAUUAAUAAGAAGGUGGGUGGGUGCCUUAGUUAUUUUUUCUCAUUGCUGGGACAAAAAUGCCCAACACUCACAAGUUAAGGGGAGAAAGGUUCAUUUAGCUAAGUUUGUAGAGGUUUCAGUCUAUCAGAUGGCUCCAAGGCAGGGUGGCACAGCAGACAGGCAUCGCAGAAGAGAAACAGUUCAUGGUGGGCAGAAGGUAGCAAAGCAAGCAGGUGGCGACCACAGCUCUUUCCUUCCAUUAUGUCUUAUCCAGGCUACUUAGGGUGAGUAGCACUCACACCAUGAAUCAAUCCUAGCAUCACAUUCUAGAUCCAGCCACCUGUGAAAAGCCCCAUGUAUGACUGCACGAGCCUUUAGGGGAACAUCUAGACACAAACCAUAACUCUGUGUGUGUGUUGCUGCAAGUAUUAAUCACAUUGGUGACAAGCAGAUGAAAUCGGCUGGGUGUGCCACAUGCAUAAUCUUUCCUCAAACUGGAACCCGUAUAUUCAUCCUUCAUGGGCUGAUAUCCAGGAACACUUGCCUCUCAUGCUUACCACUUAUUCUGGAUGAACCCCCAAAUUCUCUUACCCAACCCUAUCACUGAUUACUCCCUCUCUUAGAGGAGGAAGUGUUUUCUUCUCCCAGCCAAUUUCAGCCAAAGAAAAAUCUUAGUUCAGGUUCUUUGUGUUGCUCCACUUUCUUCUUUCUAGUUCUUUCCCCCAUCACACACAUAAGUCCUUCUAGUUUUCACCUUCACCCUUUCCUAGAGUAUCCUAGUCAUUCAGAAAUAACCUUUAAAAGGCGGGGUACUUGUGUCCCAAAGAGACCCAAAGACUUGCUGGAGGAAUAAUGUAAGGGAAAUCCUCUUCUAGAUCCUCAACAUCCACAAACACUAGUAUGCUCAGGCCUGUCAGACAAAGUGGUGUCUAUGUGCAAGUAAGGCAGGGGAACACUGAGGGAGCAUUACUGCCAGAGAUAAAGUAAUGGAAGACUGUGCUGUAAUCGGAAUCAGAGGCCGCUGUGCCCUCAGAGAUGUUGGGAGACAUGGUCACAGAGCUCAAAAGACUGGAAGCCAGCAGAAGAUAAACCUGUGGCCAGCCGACCUUAGGUCCCACCUCCCCAUGUCUGUGCCAUUGCAUAGUCCUCUCCCUUUGGGAAUGUGAGCACCUAUGGCCAGCCCUAACCAAAGGAACAUGGCAAAAGUCACUUCACAAGCCACUCUGGUACACAAGGCUUUGGAAGGACCAGUCCUUGGGUCUCCCUUUCUCUCACCUCCACUGUCAGGGAAAUUGCAGGGAGUUUCUAGGAGCCCAGGCUAGUCUCAGACUUGCAAUGCUUGGAAAGAGAUUCUGCUAGCAAUCCCUGUGAAUCCAGGGGCUCCUUCCCAUUGAUCCCCUGAGGAGAUCACAGGCCUGACUGGUGUUCUGCCCACAGCUAGCAGAGAACCAAGCUCUUCUGUGCCCCAACUUCUGACUCACAGAAACUGAGAGUGUAGAUGGGAGUCGUUUAAGUCACUAAGUUCAUGGCAUCUGUUACACAGCAGUACAAAACUUAAGCAGCUGGAGAUGGUGGGGAGGCUGGGCUGAGGAGCACAGGUUUUAUCACAUAGGCCACCAGGAACCAGGCUUGCUCUCAGCAAGGAAAAGCCACAGAAGUAAGUUUGGGGACAGUCACUCUGACCGCAGGGCAGGAGGAAACUCGAGAACAAGGUGGAAGCCUUUUAUCUUCCAGGAAGUCAGGGAUACACCAGUGAGCACGAGGCCUCAGACCCAGCAAAGCCAUUCAACCUGUAUUUACUGACUAUUUACAGGGUGUGGUGUUCAGGGGAGAGGAAUACGGGGAGAAUGACCCAGCAUGUUCCCUGCCUUCUGAAAUGUUAGGGUAGGUUCAGAAAUGUGUAUUUAAGCAGGCAAAACUUGGUUGGUUGGCUCUGUUUCUUUUCCAUUUGACAGUGUAGGACACUGCCCAGAAGGGAUGGAUCGAAGCCUCUUCCUGGGGGGCAGAGGGCUCCUGCGUGGGGUAACGCUGAGGUCCAUCCUGAAGGAUGAGCCAGGACUGCACAGGCAGGGGUAGGAUUUCAUGGCCCUCCAAUGAUUGCUUGGUGUGAGAGAAAACUCGAGUUGGUUAGAAAGCGAGCCUAGAGCUGGGAAUCUUGGAAAAAGAGCUCUUUUUCCCUUCUCAUCUGCCUGGAGUGCUGAGUACUUCCGUGAUCUGUUAAAGAAGGAUCCACAGGAGAGCUGAGGUGCACUGGUUAUGAAGGAGAGAAGGACUUAACUGAGUUACCAGGAUGACUUAGAUAAGGACGAAGCUGCAGAGAGAACCUUUGUUUGGGGAGCACCCAAGAGCCAAGAAUGUGGCAGAGAGUUAGGGAGGGGGGUGUAGAGAAGACCAUCUGCUGUUAGAGAGUAUCGAGAAAUUGGAAAGUUAUUUUGGGACCAAAUGUGUACCUCAAAAGACAUGAUCAAUUCCAUUCUAACCCUGAUGUUUUUGGCCCACCCAGGAUCCCAGUACUGCCUAUUUAUCUCCUUUGAAUCGCUUCCUGUUAUUUGGGAUAAAAUCCACGCCCCCCCCCCAUCAUCAUACACAAGGCACCACCCCUUCCAGCCUCUGCUCCCCUCUUUGUCCCCCCUGUUCUCCCCCUCUCCCCCCGCCCUUCCCCCAAUUUACACCCCCAGGCUCCCAGUGUUCUGGCCUCUUUCUCAGUUCACUCAGUUUCUUCUGUCCCUGGGUCUUUUCCAUACAUUAGGCUUGGGGGGGGACACAGGCAGGUGAGGGCACAUUCCAGGCAGAACUCCUUGACCUCACCCCAGUUUGAGCUCCCCUCCUUCGCCUGCUCCCAACCUGAAUCCUGUCCUUUCUCUUUCAAAUAAAGCAUUGAUCCUACUGUACCUCUUGGAUGUCCUGCUGAAUUCUUUGUUUGGGACAAGACCCCAGGCCAGCAAUUCACCCUCUGUUGAAGUAGAACCCAGGGUAGAUGGCAGGGUAACGAUGUAACACUGGUGCCUCUGCCACUGACACAAGUGGACACCGCUAACUGAGAGCAAGGAAAAUACUCCAGCCAGCCCUCAGGACAAGGCGGGCAUCGUCACAGCGGGGCUGAACUGCACCCACUUCCAGCAACUCAUGACUCUCAAAAACGCAGCAUUGGAAGCAGGAAGAACUGGCUUGGCGUCCCUCUCUCCAGAGCCACUUUUUCUGCGGCACUGCUCCAGCACUCCUGGUAAGGAUGGGUGGAAACUGCAGAAAGCAAGAUCCAGCCAGCUGUUGGCCCUCCCUGCACCGCCCAGAGCAUCCCUCUCCUGUCCCAUGGGCCUAUCUGAUGGAAAGUUGGCCCAUCUUUGCCACAGUAAGUAAAAACCAGCACCCGGACAGCUGCAGGAGGAAGCACCUGCCUGGAGACCCCACCUGGGCUGCCAAGGCCCCGGACCCCACGAGAAAUGAAGACCCAGGAGGCUGUGCCAUAGGCUGUGCUGGAGCCCUGGCCCUGUGCAUUACGGAACUGUAGCCAGCCAGCUUGUGGGACAGGGUGACACCUUUCUAUCCCUGGACAUCAGAUGCCAAGAGCAGGUGCUCAUCACGGUCUAAGAAAAAGAGUUAAAAGUUGUCCAAGAAUCACCUGAUUGGGGAAUUCACUGAGGGUUACUCUAAUGUCCAGCCAAAGCCAGCAGUGACUGACACUUCAUAGUUUCCAGUGGGCUCAGUCCAUGGCCUGCUGGCUCCAAGGCAGAGACAACAUGGUGGAAGGGCUUGGUGGAGGAAAAUUGCUCAUGGUGGCCAGGAAACAGACAGGAGGAGCCUGAGAUGUGAACAUACCCUUCCACCUCACAACCCAAUGACUCACCCCUUCCUACCAGACCCCACCUCCAAAAGUGAGGCUUUUGGGGACAUCUUAGAUGUAAACUAUAACAACCUGGGACCUCAUGGCUGGAGAGUGUCCCCGUUCUUAGGGAACCAAGACAUGUCACCCAAGGUUGGGGCAGUCUGGAGACUCGGGACUCUUUCCCCACGUUCAGAUCCACCCCUUCAUCCCAUCCACAGUGUCCCUGUCAACCACCAAGACCAAUGGUGGGUUCUGAGAAGAAGGUGAUGGAGGUGUGACCUGAUUUCUCAGUGGCUGUUGGGGUUGAGAGACAGGGAGAGCCAUGAGGAGACCGCUAGGGCGACUCGUGGGAUGGAACAGUGGGGAUUGUGAGAAGUCUUACUUGGGUGCUCAUUUAAGGCAGGGCCAACAGGCUGUCCUGGCAGACUGGACCUGGAGGGUGAGAGGAAGGAGAAAGCCAGUGCAGUUCCAAUGGAUUUGUCGCACCUUGGAGAAGGCAGCUGCUGUUGGAAGAGAACCCCCCCCCGCCUUGAAGUGGGAGGGACUGAACCAAGAAUGUGUCCACCAGCAAGGCCAUCUUCUGCCUCUGCUCUAUCCUCCCAGGCUUCGGGUCUCUCUGUUCAAUAAGGGAAAUAAGACCCAACUGAUUGCUUACGGAAACACCAGACCUUAUUACAAAUGAACACUUUCCCCAGAGCUCUCAUGUCCGGAAGUCAGACACGUUUACUCUGGGGCAGCUGCCAACAUAUCUUUGGAAUCCUUUUCUAGGGAUUGAGUUGAUUUAUGGCCCAUCCAAGAAAAAUCAGUCUUAUCGUUUCUCUCCAGAAGGUCAGUUGAAACAUUUACUGUGUAAAUCAGACCUGACUCUUCCAAACAUUGAAACUUUUUUCCCCAGGAUGACCAUCUGCCACCAUGCAGAAUAAGCAAAUCUCCAGCUGUGGCCAUCUCAUUGGAAAACCAACUAUGAUUCCAGGCAGGAUGAAUUUUCCUCUGUACUCCAGCACCCACGGGUGGCAGGUGAGGACCCUUGCUCUCCUGAGCUCCAGCUCCCCUGCCCUUGACACUGGGCGUAGAGGCAGAGUGAGGGCUUCGUGACAGCCCAGCACUCACCUGGCUAGAAAAGACCGUAUGAUCUGGCUUUAAAACAGUGUCACUUUGUCAUUUAUGAUCCACAAGGCUUUCUCUUAGCAUCUCUUUCAUCAUUCUAGAGGUGAGAAAACCCUCUGAACCCAGUUUGCUCAUUCGUGAAAGGUGGCCAAUGACGAUUGUAUCCUUCUCCCAGGACAGUUUGGAAGAGGAACACACUACUGCCAACAAAGAACCUCACACACUGUGCAGGCAGCUCUUGAGCGACCUGGACACAUUGCUGUCCUCCACCCUCACGUGGGAUCAUGGUCACUAGACCACGGCGCACCUUUUGCUUUUCCUGGAGGAACACACUUUCUGGCUCCAGCUGAUACUGUGCUGUCUUCCUCACCCUCGUCUGGUUUUCCCCAGAUCCCCUCUGAGCACCUCUGUAGCUUGGAUGGUUGUGGGGUUGGGUGGCCACCUUGCCAUGUCUCCCCUCCUCUGAGGGCAGGCAGGUGGCCCUCCUGCCCAAGCCAGCACCCCAAAUUAUCAGCCACCUCUGUUUCCUCCACAUCUGCCAAGCAGUUGUCAGCUGCUGCCUGGAUUUUUCUCCACGGAACAGCACAGACUUUGCAGCACAAGGUGGGACCCUGGGCUGGCCCUACACGAGGGGCCAUGAGACCUGUCCGUCAAGCCUCAGAGUCCUCCCUCUCCAUCGAGUUUUCCAUUGACCUGAGAAAUGGCCAUCGGCUGCUGCCGGGGGACUUUUCUUCCUUCAAGAGAAUUUUAGAGACAUUUUAACACGGGGGCUUCUGAAAUCCAUGAUUCAUGCUUAAAAUCUGAUUCACUAGUAGAUCAGUUGUGUGAAAUGAGUUUGGGCCAAAAUGUCUUCUAGAAGGACACACGCAUGCAUGCAUACACACAUAGAUUAAAGAAUCGCCUUCCAUUCGCUCCUUGGAAUACAAGUUAGGGUGGACCCUCAAGACAGCUUGAGGAUCUCCUCCAUCCCCUUCUUUCCUUCCUUCCCCUCCUCCCCUAACCCUUAAAGAAGAUCCACAUACCCCAGUUGAUCUGCUCAUUGUCCAAAUUAGAUGAGAAAAUGGAUUUAAAAGUUCCUUGCUCUGUGCCGGUCCCUAAUAGUCACUUUAUUAAUGAUUGGUUAAUUGUUUUCCAUCCCUCACAUCUGCACACCAAAACACCGAAGGUGGAAUCUCUGGGCCGUGAAUGUCCUUGUUGUACAUAUCCUUCAUCCCAUCUCGGCCCAGCUGCAACAGCCCAGCCGUGCCUGUCUUUGUUUCUGAGUCUCUGGACUUUGUAGAAACUUCCAACCCCUCGACUUGACAAAUGACUUUCUAAGUGGAGGGGGUUUUACAUUUAAUAUGCAUCAUGAGAAACAUCAGAGCUAUGCUCAGGAGAUCAAAUGGUUUCUUCAGCUAAGAAUGUAAGCAUUAUCCCUAUUAAUAUCUUUCCAACAAAGGCCCAGGCUCCCCACCCCCGACAACUCUAUGAUCUCAGUUUAUUAACAUUGCCAGUCUCCCCCACUUGCUGCCCCUGCUGCAGACUGGGUCACAGUCUAAGGUCCACCCUCCACACACACACUGCCUUGGCAGGGCUGCACAGGGGAAAAAACUCUCUGUCAUCAUAAAUCAUAAAAUCAAACAACCAAACGCCAUCUCCGGGGAAAUAAAUUCUGAAGAGCUAAGGAGGGAAAAGGGGGGGCUAUGAUUAUUUUAAUCCUAUUCCAGAUGCUCUGGUCUGCUCCCUAAACAAAACCUGAAUUAAUUGCAAGCCUUAGUCAAAGAGAUAAUAGCUGCAUGCGGGUGUAGGCAAUGUUGGGCAAGGAAUAGUUGCUCAGUUAAUGUUUAUGUAAAAAUAAAUGAGUGUAAAUGCACAAGAGUUCUGUGGACGCCGCCUUUGCCAGACAAGAUGGCUCAUUGUGACAGAGUUCCCCACAGCGUCCCUACCCAGUGACCUGGGUGCUCUGCUUUUCAAAAGCACCUUCAUACUUACUAGCUAGUUUGACUCGAGCAGCAAUCGAAGCUUGCACUUGGCCUUGGGAGAAUGCACUUCUGUAAAAGCCUCAAAGAGUGGACUGAGGUGACACUUGCACGCAGAAGCGUGCACACACACACACAUGCACGCGUGGAGGAAAAGCUGUUCUCAUAAGAAUUUUGAACCAUUGAAAGAUGUCAAAACCUCUGUGAGUACACAAAGGCAUACUGAUUCUUUACCAAAACCGGAAUGAAUUAAAAUCACUUACACUCUUCUUUACCACCCCUCAAAAGUGUCGUCGAGGAUGGACACUUUGGCUCCAAAGGGCAAAAGGGCCACAGAAGCGCCCUGGUGUUCAGCCACCCAAUCCUGAAACCAAUGACAAAAUGAAGGGCUCCCUGGGCCUCCUCUUAUGCAUUACAAGAUGGGAAGGAGAUGCCUGGCGCUACCCUACAUGCCAGGAUUCUUGGGUGAAUAAAAGCAGACAAGGUAAAAAAGAUCUCAGAAGAGCAGAAAUGGAAGAACAGUAGGGGAAGGACAGACAGCAUGGGGUGAGCCAGGGUGCUUGGUGCCAAAAUGGCACCAGGUGACAGGAGUAACAACACCCAGGUCGUCUUGGUUCUGGUUUGUGGUCCCAGACGGCUUGCUGCAGGAUCGGGCAUUCUGUGGGGCCAGAGCCUAGGCUAUCUGGAAGACCCCAGAGCUGGGAGGCCACCAGCUGAGUGACCUGGAGCUGACCCGUGUCUCCCAGCUCCUCCACUCCCUUCCGGGUCCAGGGCUCACACCUUUGCCUCCUGGAGGCCACGUAAGAAGCAGGCAGGUGCUGGGGCCUGGCACACAGAGAGGCUGCCCAGAUGUGGCCUUCACUCCCAAGACCCUCUGGGGGCAGGGGCUUCCUCACUGUUUCCAGUCUGCUCUUUUCUCAAAUUCUGCUUCAUCGCUCCGGGUUUCCUCCCACAGCCCUCUCUCUCUGUGGCCCAGCCCGGCCCGCCAGGAGCCUUGGAAAGUCGCGUUGUGCAGAGAAGCAGAUGGCUCUGCCUCCUCCUCCAUCCCCUGCUAAGUGGAUCUGGUGCCCUGAGGACUGCAGCCCUGGGGGAUGGCAGGGAGGGCACCUGGCCCACACACCUGCUCUGGAUCCUGAGGUCCACCAGCUGCUUCCCACUCAAAAGCAAGAAGCCAGUCCUGGGGCCUGGCCUCUACUGCAGCACUGCAUGCCACAUGUGCAUCCCUUGCUACCUUACUUAUUCAGUGGCAUCUGACAAGAAACUGCUACACCAAUCACCAAGCGCUAUGCCUACAUCAGAGGGGUCUCUGGAACUCUGCUGUCCAACAGGUCACUUCUAGACACAUGCAACUACACAAAUGUACAUGAGUCCGAUUAAAUUUAAGAUUCAGUUUCUGGCCAGGUGUGAUGGUGCAUGCCUAUAAUCUCAGCGCUCUGGGAGGCUGAGCCAGGAGGAUUGUAAAAGCCCAGCCAACUUAAUGAUUUAGCAAGACCCUGUCUCAAAAUUUGAGACAAAAAAUUUUACAGAUACAGGGCUGUAGCUCAAUGCAAAGGCCCUGGAUUCAAUGCCUAGUACUAGAGAAAAAAAGCUGUCAGUGAUAGUAGCCAUGUCUCAGGUGCUAAGGAGUCACCUGUGGCUGCUACAAAUAAGGGCCACGUCUGUCACCAGAGGAAGUCCUGCUGCACAGACUGCCUGUUAGGUGACCCUAGCAGGAAAGGUUGA